RNAcentral lists this ribosomal RNA (474 nucleotides) under Tubulanus sp. MCZ IZ 45559. Its description in RNAcentral is "partial 16S ribosomal RNA". It matches the Rfam family "Bacterial large subunit ribosomal RNA", at positions 1831 to 2597 of the family's 2925-position model. Lineage: Eukaryota; Metazoa; Nemertea; Palaeonemertea; Tubulaniformes; Tubulanidae. The record is from RNAcentral.
AGUUUGUUGAAUUUAUAAUAAAUAUUUUCUGCCCAGUGAUUAUUUAAAUGGCCGCGGUAUUUUGACUGUGCAAAGGUAGCAUAAUCAUUUGUCUAUUAAUUGUGGACUAGUAUGAAUGAAUUUACGGAAAUAGUAUUGUCUCUUUUUUUUUCUUUUAAUUUUCUUUUUAGGUGAAGAAGCCUAUAUUUUUAAAUAAGACGAGAAGACCCUAUUGAUCUUUAUUAUUACCAUAAUAAUUUUUAUUUUUUUAUUUUAUUUUAAUUUAGUUGGGGCAACUGAGGAGGAAUUUUUAUUCUCUUUUAUUUAUAUAUUGAUCUUUUUUUUUGACUAUAAGAAAAAGUUACCAUAGGGAUAACAGCGUUAUUAUUUUGGAGAGUUCUUAUCAAUAAAGUAGUUUGCGACCUCGAUGUUGGACUAGGAUUACCUGAGGGGGCAGUUUUUUUCUUGGUAGGUCUGUUCGACCUUUAAAAUCCU